Molecule: long non-coding RNA, 635 nt
Organism: Gallus gallus (chicken)
Lineage: Eukaryota; Metazoa; Chordata; Aves; Galliformes; Phasianidae
Exons: 2
Source: RefSeq, a predicted model, not a curated record
GUGACAUGGCAACCCACAUCACAAAAGGGACAACCCCAAAUAUGGGGCAAAGGCUGGGUGCCACUUUGCCCGUGAUGUGACUAAGAAGAGGAGCUUGACUGCUUGGCUCUCUGCACGUCAUAGGCAUGGCUGCUUUCUGGAGAAUGCACUUCUUCCUCAGCCUGAAGGAUGACAAUAUCUUCUACCCCAUCCUCUGGAUCAUGCUGAUCCUAUCAUUAUUUGUAUUCGUUAUGGCCUUGUGGAAGUGGAAGGGUGGGAGGCCAAGGAGGUACCACUGCAGAGACAACGCAGAGAAUUACAGAGGUGAGCAGCAUGGGCAAGGACAGAUGCCCUGCAAAGACACCCUGUAGCCCCACAGAUCCGUGGCUCCAUCAGGGAAGGGCUUUCUGCACUUUUUUUCUGCUCCUGCACUUCUGUCAAAGCAGAUGAAGGCAGCUGCAUUUCACAUCUGACCCUCAGCACUCCUCUGCAUGGAGCAGAUUUGAGUCAUGCUGCUGUGGACCAGCCUGACUUCAUGCUUUCAGAUGCUCUUGAGCCCCAAAGAGUCCAGGAAACCUUGGACUGAAUCAUCCCAAAAAGGACAUGCCAAUAUGAACCCAUCAAUUACAUGAAUUAAAAAAUAAAUUAAAAAAAAA